UUCAACAUCCUGUAUCUUUUCCACCAGUAUUUGUUUUCCGAGACUUUCCUUCUCUCCUUCUUCUUCACUAUUUCUCUCCAUCUUCACUCUACCCAUCCCCAACUCCAAUUCGAAACCCUAGCUCCGCCAUCCUUUCUCCGCCGCCGCCACUUCAUCCCUAUUUUAUAUUUACUAAGUUAUAUUAGGGUUUUGAAACAGUUUUUAUUUUGAUUUUUGCAGAAUGUUUUUCGAUGAUUUUAACACACAAAAUACUCGUGACUGCAACAAACUCACAACAGCAAGACACGGAUCCUAUGGUUGAGUUCGAUGGUGAAGAAACUGGAUCUUGAUCUAGAUCUAAGGUUUUCAAGUUCCAUGUCGUAAACAAAGAUCUGUUGUAGAUUAGGCAGUUAGUUUCAGUAUGUUAUUUAGAGUUUAAAUGUCAUAAAUAUGGGUUUUGGUUUUUGAUAUUAUUUAUUCGUACUUUCUAUUUCAGAAUUUUAGUUAUCUUUUGGAUUGAAAGUGUCUAAGAAAAGAACAGAAAAGAAGUGGAAAGGUUCGUCAUGUAUAACUACUUUAGAUGAUUUCCUGAAUGUUUAAGUUAGUUUCACAAUGUUUUGGAAAAAGACACUCAUUCGGGUGAUUUCUUUAAAUUAAUUAUACAAUGUUUCUACUGCGAUAUAUUUUAUGUAUCCUAAGUUGUGAUUUGCUUCAUUUGACAAAGCUUUGUAUCUUUAUUUAUUUAUAUGUAUGAUUAAUUCAUUCAAGGUAAAUGUUUUGUAAAGUACUUAGUAUGUUUGGUGAUUGAUGAAGCUCACAGAGGAUUAGGAAAUUACUUCUAUUGUGAAGCACUUUGUGAGGUUUGGUUUGUUCAGAGGUUUUUAGUACUUCUGGUCUUAACUCUAAUUUAAAAUUUAGUACUAUAUGCUCAUUCAUUUUUAUACACACAACACAUAAUGGAUUCAUCUCUGCUAUAUUCUUUGCAUAAUGAUAAAGGAAAAUUAGAAGAAAGCUUUGCACCGAAUGGAUUUCGAAACUAUUUCACAAGCUGCUGUCAAUCAAAUGGUGUACGUUGCUCCGAGUAAUUCUUAUGAUUUUCUAUUUAGUUGACGCAGCUUAUAAACAUAAGGACUUUGCUGCUCACUACAGUCCCCAUCUUGAUAGUAUCUCUUCUCAUAUUAGUCAUAGGGAGUCUGGGCAGCACUACAAAUGCAUCAAUCUCAACCAUUAGUGUUGUUGUUUAUUUCUAUUUCUUUGUCAUGGGAUUUGGACCAGUUCCGAAUAUUCUUUGUGUCGAGAUCUUCCCAACUCGAGUCUGUGGUCUCUGCAUUGCCAUAUGUGCUCUUACCUUUUGGAUAUGUAACAUCAUUGUCAACUAUUCACUCCAAGUUAUGCUGAAUUCUAUAGGCCUUUGUGGUGUGUUUGGUCUAUAUGCAGCCGUCGGAGCAAAACAGGCUGAGGCAACCAAUCAUAACUGACUGAAGGGAACUGGCCUGCUUUAUUUACUGAAUGUAUGAAAAAGUCUUAAUGGAAGAUCUUAAUGAACACUACAAUAGUGUUUGGAAAAGAGCUAUGGGUACUGUAAGUCGGGUCUACUUUCUUGAUCCAUGGAGUUCUACCAUAGUUGUUAUAAUUGUUAUAAUUUUCAUCAUCUUUAACUUUGAUCGCACUGCUCAUCUAAUGUGUUUUAGUUACUUUAGAAAUAUAUGCAAUGAAUAACCUGUACUAGAGUUAUUAUUGCACAUGUUUGAUAAUUUCUUGUCAUGAACUCUUGGAAGUAUGAUAAAAUGAAUGAUAACCUUUUAAAAAUCAUGAACUCUUGGAAGUAUGAUAAAAUGAAUGAUAACCUUUUAAAAGUAAGUUAAAUAUUUUACUCUAACCAUUCAGUUAAUCCAAUGUAUCCAUUCCAAUAAUCUAAUUUACUAAAAAAAAAAGUUAAAACCACUUACCACAAUGAAGUCAAAAGCACAACCCGUGUCUAUUGCUCUUUGCCAAAAAAUUAAAGAAUUAUUAUCACUUUAAAUUAAAAUAGAUAUAAAAUAAAUGUUAGAAACCAAUAGAAUAAAUUCAUGUAAACACUUUGACAAAAAUUAUCUUGACUUAUAUUUCAACAAAAAUUUGAUGAAUGACAAAAUUAGAAUCACUCGAAUUUACUAUUUUCACGGGUCACUAUCACCAUUUUACAUUUUUUUUUUAUUUUAAUCAAUAAAAUAUUUGUAAAUAUUUAUAAUUAUUAGUGAUAUUCGUAAAAAUUUGUAGUAUUAGAUGAAUCCUAUAAAAACUCAUGUUUUCUUUUCAAAUGAGAUCCUAUAAUUAUCACCCGACCAAUAUUCAUUUAAGAUUUAGAUGAUGCACCAUUGUUCAUCAUAUGACCAAUAUAUUGAAUUUUUUUGUAUCUAGGACAUGUUUUAUCUAUUCUAUUUGUUUAUUAUCACUAAAAAUACUAAUUAAUCUAUUUUUUAACUUCAAUAACUUUUUAUUUAACGAGUCUAUAUCAAAUUAUUACCAUUAUUUUCAAAUAUCAAUUUUUUUCUCCAUGUCACAAGUUUUUUUAAAAUAUUU
Molecule: long non-coding RNA, 2541 nt
Organism: Vicia villosa (hairy vetch)
Lineage: Eukaryota; Viridiplantae; Streptophyta; Magnoliopsida; Fabales; Fabaceae
Exons: 3
Source: RefSeq, a predicted model, not a curated record